This 315-nucleotide ribosomal RNA is filed under the name Triticum aestivum (bread wheat). Its description in RNAcentral is "partial small subunit ribosomal RNA". Lineage: Eukaryota; Viridiplantae; Streptophyta; Magnoliopsida; Poales; Poaceae. The record is from RNAcentral.
CUUUUUGUACACUAUAGAUUCACACAACAACUUUGGAGGGAGUUCCAGCAGUGGACUGGGGUGUCUUCCACCAUUCCUGACGAAAGCUUCAGCAGCACGGAAGACUGGUGGCUAACAACUAGGAGGGCGAUCCCAAAUCCUGCCCGUCGUAACUUCGACACCAUCUCCAUUCUGAUACAUUGGAGGGUCUGGAAGGAGCGGUACGCUAGAACUUUCUAUCACUCUGCGUGUACCAUUGAGCGAGUCCUUGACCAAAUCAGAGAGGAUAUCGGCGUCUGGAGGGCCGCUGGUUGUGUCACUAACGUGGGGAUCUGA